RNAcentral lists this ribosomal RNA (393 nucleotides) under uncultured bacterium. RNAcentral's name for it is "bacterial SSU rRNA". It matches the Rfam family "Bacterial small subunit ribosomal RNA", at positions 29 to 412 of the family's 1533-position model. The record is from RNAcentral.
AUGAACGCUGGCGGCGUGCUUAACACAUGCAAGUCGAGCGGAGGAUUCGAGGUGUUUACAUCAAAGGAUCCUUAGCGGCGGACGGGUGAGUAACACGUGGGUAACCUGCCUCAGAGUGGGGGAUAGCCUUUCGAAAGGAAGAUUAAUACCGCAUAAGAUUGUAGCGUCACAUGGCGCAGCAAGAAAAGGAGCAAUCCGCUUUGAGAUGGACCCGCGGCGCAUUAGCUAGUUGGUGAGGUAACGGCUCACCAAGGCCACGAUGCGUAGCCGACCUGAGAGGGUGAUCGGCCACAUUGGAACUGAGACACGGUCCAGACUCCUACGGGAGGCAGCAGUGGGGAAUAUUGCACAAUGGGCGAAAGCCUGAUGCAGCAACGCCGCGUGAGUGAUGAA